CCAUUGGUGGUUCAGUGGUAGAAUUCUCGCGUCCCACGUGGGAGACCAGGGUCUGAUUCCCAGCCAAUGCA
This is a non-coding RNA of Danio rerio (zebrafish), 71 nucleotides long. The record is from Rfam. NCBI's taxonomy places the organism in Eukaryota, Metazoa, Chordata, Actinopteri, Cypriniformes, Danionidae.